AAGGAAUAUUGGACAAUGGACGGAAGUCUGAUCCAGCCAUGCCGCGUGAAGGAUGAAGGCGCUCAGCGUUGUAAACUUCUUUUGGAUGGGGACAAUAAUCUCGAUUUAUCGGGACUUGAGGGUACCAUCAGAAUAAGCACCGGCUAACUCCGUGCCAGCAGCCGCGGUAAUACGGAGGGUGCAAGCGUUAUCCGGAAUCACUGGGUUUAAAGGGUGCGUAGGCGGUCAGAUAAGUCAGUCGUGAAAUUCCUCGGCUUAACCGGGUGGACUGCGAUUGAUACUGUUUGACUUGAAUGAGGUUGAGGUAGGCGGAAUGUGGCAUGUAGCGGUGAAAUGCUUAGAUAUGCCAUAGAACACCGAUUGCGAAGGCAGCUUGCUGGGCCUUCAUUGACGCUGGGGCACGAAAGCGUGGGGAGCAAAC
RNAcentral lists this ribosomal RNA (421 nucleotides) under uncultured bacterium. RNAcentral describes it as "bacterial SSU rRNA". It matches the Rfam family "Bacterial small subunit ribosomal RNA", at positions 356 to 773 of the family's 1533-position model. The record is from RNAcentral.